UUGACCUCGGAUCAGGUAGGAAUUACCGCUGAACUUAA
This 38-nucleotide ribosomal RNA is filed under the name Colletotrichum gloeosporioides. Its description in RNAcentral is "partial 28S ribosomal RNA". Lineage: Eukaryota; Fungi; Ascomycota; Sordariomycetes; Glomerellales; Glomerellaceae. The record is from RNAcentral.